UGGCAAUUACGUAAUGUCCUAAAUCCU
This 27-nucleotide non-coding RNA is filed under the name Homo sapiens (human). Lineage: Eukaryota; Metazoa; Chordata; Mammalia; Primates; Hominidae. The record is from RNAcentral.